This is a long non-coding RNA of Salvelinus fontinalis (brook trout), 1406 nucleotides long. RefSeq lists it as uncharacterized. The record is from RefSeq and is a predicted model, not a curated record. The transcript has 4 exons. NCBI's taxonomy places the organism in Eukaryota, Metazoa, Chordata, Actinopteri, Salmoniformes, Salmonidae.
UACAGUUAGCCAUUGUUAGCAGCUAGCUAGCGUUACCUUAAUAACAUCUAUCAACCAAGGCCUGUCUCCAACGCGAAUUUAACACUGCCUGGGUCAAUAGAGAUGGAGAAUGGGAAGCCUGAUCUGCUGCUAGUCAAAGAGGAGACAAUAGAGGAUGGACCAGCGAGCAUUGAUCUGCUGAAGAUGGGAGCGCACGGUGGUUGGCUGGAGGCUAACAGAGGAGACUGCGUGUCCAUCUUGGAUUCCAAGACCCAGAUGGGUGCAGCCAAGGGCCUAGGGGACGACAUCACAGAUCAGGCCAGGACCAGAGGUGACAUAGUGGAGGUCAAUGGAUAGGACGGCGUCUUCAAAUCUGGGCUGGGGACAACACUUUUCACCACAACCAGAAACUGACAGUUUAACACAAAACAACAACCAAACUUUGUCUCCAUACUGGCUGAGACUAGGGCGAGGCGUAGAUUUUGUCUACUUCAUUCUUGAAUCAACGCAUAUGGACUUUUUUUUUUACUCCAAUGGCUCCAUAUUGUUAGUCUGCAGUCCAUGAGGACCUGCUGGUAUUCGGUGUUGCUGGUGGGAGAGACUGGACCUCUGAGGUGGCUGGUCACAAAGCCUGUCGCUGGAUCAGGACACUGGAUCAGGAGCCAUCUCUCUUCCUUCCCGAGUCGGAACUGGCACCCACCCACUAGAGACAGACUCGAUCACCACCAGUGGACAAGGGGACUGAACAACCUCAGUCCUGGUAGUCAUCAGAGAGACAGAGGCUCCAAUCAUGGAUCCAGUCUGCAGCCCAGACCCUUCUCUUCACAGUCUCAGAGCAGGGAUGAAGCAGGGCCUAAUAGAGAGAGACCCUCCUGUUCCUAUGAUACAAACACCACAGUAUCCAUGAUGAACAGAACAGGUCACCCUGGGCUUCAGCCUUCACAGAGAGUGGUGGGAGACUCCCCUGGUGGUAGUCUAUCAGGAAGUAUUUUCUCCUUCAGGGUCUCAUCUUAUGCCUCGUGACUGGGUUCAUAGAAGGUCUGGGGCUGGACCUGGGUCUAGCCUUCCUCAAUUAGAAUACCUCAUGGUUACCCCACCAAUACAGUGCAUUUGCAAAGUAUUCAUACCCCUUCCCAUUUUCCACAUUUUGUUACGUUACAGCCUUAUUCUACAAUGGAUACAAUUUAAAAUAGUGUGUUUAUCAAACAUAUGAUUAAUUGUACUGAUAUGCUGAUUGUGAAGAAGAUUUGAUGGUGUUUAUCGAACAUAUGAUUAAUUGUACUACAUAAACAAACAAAAAGUUAAAGAAACUGGAGCUGAAAGGUUUUUGUGUUUCCAGUAAUUCAUUGCUGAAACAUCGCAAAGAAUACUGUCCGAAUAUGCUCUUCUUCUCAGGCCCCAGACUCUAAAUAAAGGAGUACAUUGAG